RNAcentral lists this transfer RNA (72 nucleotides) under Hexanchus griseus. RNAcentral's name for it is "tRNA-Thr". It matches the Rfam family "tRNA". Rfam says of the family: Transfer RNA (tRNA) molecules are approximately 80 nucleotides in length. Their secondary structure includes four short double-helical elements and three loops (D, anti-codon, and T loops). The record is from RNAcentral. Lineage: Eukaryota; Metazoa; Chordata; Chondrichthyes; Hexanchiformes; Hexanchidae.
GUUUUGAUAGCUUAAUUUUAAAGCGUCGAUCUUGUAAAUCGAAGACCGGAAGUUUAAAUCCUCCUCAAAAUA